GUGGGUAUGGCGCAGUUGGAAGCGCGCAAGAUUGUGGCUCUUGAGGCCGUGGGUUCGAGCCCCACUACUCACCCCA
This 76-nucleotide transfer RNA is filed under the name Firmicutes bacterium ADurb.Bin080. RNAcentral's name for it is "tRNA-His". It matches the Rfam family "tRNA". From Rfam's summary of the family: Transfer RNA (tRNA) molecules are approximately 80 nucleotides in length. Their secondary structure includes four short double-helical elements and three loops (D, anti-codon, and T loops). Further hydrogen bonds mediate the characteristic L-shaped molecular structure. tRNAs have two regions of fundamental functional importance: the anti-codon, which is responsible for specific mRNA codon recognition, and the 3' end, to which the tRNAs corresponding amino acid is attached (by aminoacyl-tRNA synthetases). tRNAs cope with the degeneracy of the genetic code in two manners: having more than one tRNA (with a specific anti-codon) for a particular amino acid; and 'wobble' base-pairing, i.e. permitting non-standard base-pairing at the 3rd anti-codon position. Lineage: Bacteria; Bacillati; Bacillota. RNAcentral also lists the same sequence under 1 other name. The record is from RNAcentral.